CAAAGAAUAGUUUAAUAAAAAUAUUAAUUUUGGAGAUUAAAGAUAUUUAAAUAUAAAUUUCUUUGA
This 66-nucleotide transfer RNA is filed under the name Rhagonycha nigroimpressa. RNAcentral describes it as "tRNA-Pro". RNAcentral also lists the same sequence under 5 other names. Lineage: Eukaryota; Metazoa; Arthropoda; Insecta; Coleoptera; Cantharidae. The record is from RNAcentral.